Molecule: long non-coding RNA, 230 nt
Organism: Tympanuchus pallidicinctus (lesser prairie-chicken)
Lineage: Eukaryota; Metazoa; Chordata; Aves; Galliformes; Phasianidae
Exons: 3
Source: RefSeq, a predicted model, not a curated record
AGGCCUAUUGACUGGAAGACCACCUUCCCCACAAUGCGGAGACUGAAGCGCAAAGCAGCGGAGAUGCAACCAUCUGCUGCUGAGGACGCCGACGAGCCCCCAGCCAGAAAACUGCCUAUGGCGAUCCUUGCUUCAGUCCCGCCCGAGUACACCCUGGUCAGCGUUGAAGUCCUGAAGCUUCCAAGCAGUCUGGAACUGCUUCCAGGAAGCCAGGCAGACUCUGUGGCACC